This 72-nucleotide transfer RNA is filed under the name Rattus norvegicus (Norway rat). It matches the Rfam family "tRNA". Rfam says of the family: Transfer RNA (tRNA) molecules are approximately 80 nucleotides in length. The record is from Rfam by way of RNAcentral. Lineage: Eukaryota; Metazoa; Chordata; Mammalia; Rodentia; Muridae.
UGGUGUAUAGCUCAGUGGUAGAGCAUUUGACUGCAGAUCAAGAGGUCCCUCAUUCAAAUUGGGUUGCUUCCA